AAGAUACUAGUAAAAGGAUAUUACACUGCCUUGUCAAGGCAGAAUCGCAGGUUAAAGCCCUGCGUAUCUUA
RNAcentral lists this transfer RNA (71 nucleotides) under Coreoperca kawamebari (Japanese aucha perch). Its description in RNAcentral is "tRNA-Asp". It matches the Rfam family "tRNA". From Rfam's summary of the family: Transfer RNA (tRNA) molecules are approximately 80 nucleotides in length. Their secondary structure includes four short double-helical elements and three loops (D, anti-codon, and T loops). The record is from RNAcentral. Lineage: Eukaryota; Metazoa; Chordata; Actinopteri; Centrarchiformes; Sinipercidae.